Molecule: long non-coding RNA, 498 nt
Organism: Cucurbita moschata (crookneck pumpkin)
Lineage: Eukaryota; Viridiplantae; Streptophyta; Magnoliopsida; Cucurbitales; Cucurbitaceae
Exons: 2
Source: RefSeq, a predicted model, not a curated record
UCAUGUUUCCAAUCUCCAUCCCGUCGCAGCUCGCGGCUCGCAGCCACAGCGAAAGCGCUAUUUGCUUCUCUGCUCUCCGAUCUUCCUACAGCACAGCAGUCAGCAGACAAGAACAUUGUCAGUACAAAGGAUUCCCCAGACAAGAACAAUGUCAAUGGGAGCUGGGAAUUGGACACUACUACUAGAGGCUUGUCUGGUUCAAUGAAGAUAGGUUUGUUGCUCCUCGAGGAUUGAGCUUCUCUGGAAUCUCAGGAGGCAGAACAAAGUCAUUCAAGGGGCUGCUGAUUGGCCUUAUCUACGCAGCUCAAUAUUCAAGACUUCCUCUCUUGAGAAUAUCUACCCUAUUAUUCUUAGUUUUCUCUAGAUGAUGCUCAACUUAGACACGUUGAGGCGUCCAAGUCAUUGAACUGUAGAAGUCAAAAUAGCGGUGAAAUUACUUUCUUACAAGUGAUUUGAUUUAUCGAUAGGGGCCCUCCCAUACUAUAGGAAGUUGUUUCU